Molecule: ribosomal RNA, 443 nt
Filed under: uncultured bacterium
Lineage: Bacteria
Description: partial 16S ribosomal RNA
Rfam family: Bacterial small subunit ribosomal RNA
Source: RNAcentral
CCUACGUGAGGCAGCAGUGGGGAAUAUUGGACAAUGGGGGGAACCCUGAUCCAGCGACGCCGCGUGAGUGAAGAAGUAUUUCGGUAUGUAAAGCUCUAUCAGCAGGGAAGCAAGAAAUGACGGUACCUGACUAAGAAGCCCCGGCUAAAUACGUGCCAGCAGCCGCGGUAAUACGUAGGGGGCAAGCGUUAUCCGGAUUUACUGGGUGUAAAGGGAGCGUAGACGGCGAUGCAAGUCUGAAGUGAAAGGCGGGGGCCCAACCCCUGGACUGCUUUGGAAACUGUAUGGCUGGAGUGCAGGAGAGGUAAGUGGAAUUCCUAGUGUAGCGGUGAAAUGCGUAGAUAUUAGGAGGAACACCAGUGGCGAAGGCGGCUUACUGGACUGUAACUGACGUUGAGGCUCGAAAGCGUGGGGAGCAAACAGGAUUAGAUACCCCGGUAGUC